AACAAUACAAAUGACCAAGACAGUAAAUUUUAGAUCAUUAAAAGAAGUAAAUCAUGGUCUUUAUCUAGAUCGCGUAAUUAACCACAAAAAGGUAUGUGAAAUUUCACUUAACCAAAAAAAAGAAGCUUACGUGUCGCAGUUAGUGCUCAUGGAGAUGGGAUAGGGAAUGCUAACACCGCACUUUCCAGGAAGGCUAGAGGCUAGACUUGGAUUGACGUUCUUUGCAGCGGUCUUUAGGCAUUUACAUGCUUGUUGGCGGUCCGGUGUGGUUUUAGCCAUACUGUUCAAUUUUGAAACUCCGGCGCAGCAUGGAGCUGGCACCGGCCCGCCUUUCAUUAGAUAGCUGGCACAUGGAGCCAAGUUACUUGUCACUGUGCCACAUGAGAUUGCUGCAUCUACUGAUGCAACUAUGCACACAGUCAAAACAAGGCAUGUGAAAAAACUCAGAGCCGAAGCCAUUGUCUUUUGCUUUUCUCUUUUUCUUUGUGAUGAUAAGAAAAUAAGGAGACUUAGUUGCUUUUGUGAUUAUAAGCUUGUGUUAUGAUGUUGGAUGUGAGAAAAUGAUGAUGGGUUUAUAUAGGGAAUUUAGAUGGGAAAAUAGGAUGACUAACUACUAACUUAGAAUAUGUUAGACUGUUAUUAGUUGGAUUUGCAUUUAAUGCAUUUCAUUCCUUCUAGUUUUGUCUACUAACGAGAAGAAUUUGUUUCACUGUCACAAUUUUUAUGUACAUAUACGUUAGUCUGUCAGAGACUACGCAAAUAUCUAAUAUUAUACUUUUGUGAAUUUAUUAGUUUACUACACUUUUGGUUGUUUUAGAUAUUAGGUUUGAGCGAUAUUCAAGAAUUGAAAGCCAGUUGCAAAAAAGAAGACAUUACACGACUUGGUAAUCGUACUUGGUAAUCGUAUGUUUUUAUUUUCCCUCUGUAUAGCGGUAAUGAUAUCGCUUAAAGAAUAUUUAUUUUGGUUCGCCCAUUACAUUAGUCAAAAAAAAUAUUUAUUUUGGUUUCGCGCAUAAUCAAUAGUUUAUCAACUAUUAGAGGUACAGUGCCAAUUAAAUUUUAAUACCGUCCAAUUAAAUGGAGUGUGUAGCAGAAGGACACGCGUAUCCAACAGCAAACAUCAGAACUCUCCCAACUAGCCCCAUCACAUUCUUCAAUUUCGUUGGACCACCUUUUUGUUUUCCCAUUAAUUAUCUAAGGAAAAACCUAACUAUGGUCAUUAGAUACAGUACUAUACCGACAAAAAAGUUUUGCCCAACUAUGAAACUUCAAAUAAUAAAACUUACUGCAUCACGCACAAAAAAUAGAGAAAAUCGCUUAAAAAAAUCUUCAAAGUGACACCCACUUACAUUUUAAAUCUUUAGAAUAAUUCAUAAAUACUUUAAAUCUUGAAAGUAACACUUUUAUCGAAAGAAAUUUUCAAUCUAGUUUACUUGUACAUCAAAUCAAAAUGUUAGCCGGUAUUGUUCAAAAUCGAUAAUGCGUCGAUUUUUUUUUUAAUAUUUUAUAAGUAAAAUAAAUUAAAAAAUAAAAAAUUAUAAAAAAUCAUAAAAAAUCAAAACAAAUCAUAAAAGUCACUAAAAAUUUACAAAUCAAAAUAUUCACCAAAAAAAUUUAAAUUAUUUUAUUAAUAAAAUAAAUAUAAAAAUACAUAAAAUAUAAAAUUCAUAAAAAAUACAAAAAAAAUUCACAACAAAUCAUAAAAUCAAUAAAAUUCACAAAAAAUCUAAAUAUUCCCAAAAAAAUACUUUAAAUUAAUAAAAUAAGUAUAAAAUACAGAAAAUAUAAAAAAAAAUCAUAAAAAUUCACAAAAAUCAAGAAUAAAGUUUUAUAAAAGCGACUAAGGAAUAAUGUGCAUUGAGUGUUAUAAACUGGCUACCCUGAAGCUAUCAUUAGUAUCCAUUCUUCCCUUUAACAAUCAUGAAGUUUCCCAAAUCCAACCAACACACACAUAACAUAACAGAUUAAAAAAUAUCCAAAUUGCAGUCGGUCUCUCGUUAUGAUUACUCUAAUUCAGAUUAGAAAAUUCAUUAUCUUCAAAUAAUUCUCGUGAAUGAUUUGUUUUGAAUUUUUUGAAAUUUUUAUAUUUUAUGUAUUUUUAUAUUUAUUUUAUUAAUAAAAUAUUUUAAAAUACAUUUUGUGAAAUUUUUGAUUUUUAUGAAUUUUAUUGAUUUUUUUUAUUUUUAGUGAUUUUAUGAUUUGUUUUGAUUUUUUAUGAAUUUUAUAUUUUAUUUUUUAUAUUUAUUUUACUGAUAAAAUAAAUUUAAAAAAAUUCAAAAAAAAUAGACCCGACACAUCAUCGAUUUUGAACAGAAUCGCUUACCGUUUUGACUUGAUGUAUAAGUAAGCCAAAUUGAAGGUUUUUUUUUAUAAAAGUGUCACUUUAGAGGUUUAAAGUGCUUGUGAAAUGUUCUUAGGGUUUAAAGUGUAAGUGGUUGCCAGCUUAAGGGUUUUUAACGCGAUUUUCCCCAAAAAAUUAUAUAACCUUGAAGAGUUUUAUGCAUCAAUAUGUUACUAGUGUGGCUGUGUUAUAUUUUCUCUAAUGCCACUUCAAGGAUUAAUGUCCUUGCAACCCUCCUUUUUGCUAAAUAAAAUUUUUGAGCAUGGAGAAAAUUUAGUAAAUGUUUAAAGAAAAUAUUGGAAAGAUUAAGGGUGACCCUGAAUGUUAAGACGACAAAAAACAAAAUCCAGAAAAUCAUAAAAGUUAGGACCCACGAUCAUAUAAAUAAAACGGAAUGAAGAAGAUAGAAAAGUGAUUUUGGGAAACUUUUGGUGUAGGAAAUGAUAGAAAAAUGUGUUAGAGAAUAGUCAAAUUUACAGAAUGUGUGUGAAACAUAUGUUAUGUGAUAAAUUAUAUCAGUUCCAGUGAAAAUAAAUACCACAGAAGAGUAGCUCUUAGUGAAGAGCUGAAUGAUACUUUUGUUAUCUAAAAUAAAAUCAUGAGAGGUUACAUAUUUUACCGCUUAAGGGCAUGUGCAAUCCAACUCUAGUUUUUAUCCUAAAAUAAAGUAAAAAUAGAAUAUAGCGUAAAAGAUGCUCCAAACUCAACUUCAUACUUCAUUCCAUAAUGAAAUUUACUUCAUAAAUAGAGUAAUCUAUUUUUUGUCUGUUUAUUACUCCAUUAUGAAGUAAGAAAUAGAAUAAAAUUGAAGCAUUUUUACUCCAUAUUCUUUUUACUCCAUUUUGAAAGAAAAAAUGUAGUUUUAUAUCGGAAAUGCUCCAAUAACUGGAAAAUAUGUUUUAACCCUUUAUGCAGAGGUAAUUAUGUUCUAGAAACCAGCUUGCCGCUAUCCAACUAGUGAAAAAAAUCAAAUACAAGGCACCUGAGAUGUAACAAAAGUGCUAAAACUCAGUGAGGAGCAGAUGAGUCUUUAUAGCACAGGCUGCACAGCCAGAGUUUCUACCAUAACAGACCAUCUUAACAGAGGAAAAACAUCUGAAGUAACAAGUUGAGAUCAAAGAGAUACUAGUAAUUAAAUAAAUAAGAUUCGAAAAAGUUUUCCGAAAGUUUCUGAAUGUCUUCUUCUUAGGACUUACAUACUUGAGAGUACAAUCUAGUUUUCUAGUAGACAGAAAUACUAAGAACAUAAUAAUUAACUACAAAUGAAUGUAAUUUUUCACACUUAAGUGGCUGAUCUCGAGUUAUUGAGUUAUCAACGUUCAUAUCAAAUGGUUGAGUAAUUGACAUCUUAACAAAUAGACUGCAUUUUUGUUGUUCAUGGUCAAUGUGGCAUGUGAUUUUAUCUGGAGUUGCAGGAUCCUACGUCUAGACCAAUAGCAAUCCGCUAGAAUCAGAUAGUUACAAAAGAGAGAUUCGAGCAAGCAAUCGGUACCAGAUGAAGCACAAGAUGGAUCGACUUAUAUGUAAACCGUGACUUCAGAAUCUUGUUUAUUUUGUUUCUAUGUUGGACACACAUCAUUGCGGAGAUAUCGUUGCAAUAAGAAGACUCAAAAGCUGUUUCAGAUUAAGAUAAGGAAGUAGCAUCCUAGUUGUACGAAAAAUGUGUAGUUGAAACUUGAAAUCGUCGUGUAUGAAAAUUUCUUUUGAUACAUAAUUCAAUCUCGAUUGUUAGUAAUAUUGGACUACUUAGUAUAACAAAAACUAUAUUUAACCCUUGUCAUCUAAAAGUUUAUAAUUGGAUGGGAGAAACCAUAUAUAGUAUUUCUUCUUGGUAUUUCUAAUUUGGUUUUAAAUUUGGUACCAAUCUAAAUUUUUUAAAGAUACCAAAAUCUAAGCUCUUAAUAAAUAUAUUUAUAUGGCUCUAUAAUCGGUGGUUAUAGUACUCUCCCAUUCACUAUAUAUAUAUGAUUAAUAUCGGAGAAAAUAUAUAAAGAGACGAUGAUUAAUAGGAUAAUAUUAUCAUAUCUUAAACAUCAUUAAGACACAAUAUAAAGCAAAAGAUUACAAAGUAAUAUGACAAACUUUCGACUGCAAAAUAAAAACAAGACAAACUAGGACAUGCUGAGGUCAGUGUAGAUAGACACUCUUUUAUUUAUGCUAGACCAUACUGUUCAUCCUCACGAUGAUAUAUGAGUUCCCAUUUCACUUGACGCUGCAACAAUACAAACGACCAAGACAGUAAAUUUAGAUCAUUAAAAGAAGUAAAUCAUGGUCUUUUAUCUAGAUCGCGUAAUUAACCACAAAAAGGUAUGUGAAAUUUCACUUAACCAAAAAAAGAAGCUUACGUGUCGCAGUUAGUGCUCAUGGAGAUGGGAUAGGGAAUGCUAACACCGCACUUUCCAGGAAGGCUAGAGGCUAGACUUGGAUUGACGUUCUUUGCAGCGGUCUUUAGGCAUUUACAUGCUUGUUGGCGGUCCGGUGUGGUUUUAGCCAUACUGUUCAAUUUUGAAACUCCGGCGCAGCAUGGAGCUGGCACCGGCCCGCCUUUCAUUAGAUAGACGGCACAUGGAGCCAAGUUACUAGUCACUGUGCCACAUGAGAUUGCUGCAUCUACUGAUGCAACUAUGCACACAGUCAAAACAAGGCAUGUGAAAAAACUCAGAGCCGAAGCCAUUGUCUUUUGCUUUUCUCUUUUGUCUUGUGAUAAGAAAAUAAGGAGACUUAGUUGGUUUUAUGAUUCUAAGCUUGUGUUAUGAUGUUGGAUGUGAGAAAAUGAUGAUGGGUUUAUAUAGGGAAUUUAGAUGGGAAAAUAGGAUGACUAACUACUAACUAGAAUAUGUUACUGUUAUUAGUUGGAUUUGCAUUUAAUGCAUUUCAUUCCUUCUAGUUUUGUCGACUAACGAGAAGAAUUUGUUUCAUUAUCAAAAAAUUUAUACGCAUAUAUACGUUAGUACGUCAGAAACUACCCAAAACUUCGCCCCCCUUAACUGUAAAUCAUAAGUUUAGAUUAGUUAAUCAUACGGUAAAAAUACUUCAAUAAUUUGGUCUUUUUUUUAAUUGAGAACUACUUUUAAGUAAAAAUACAUUUUUACCUUUUAAUAAAAUUUAUUUUUGUUAUUUUUUUAAUUGAAAACUAUUUUUGUGACAAAAACUUAAAAACUACUAUCAGAACGGAUUUUUCUAUAUUUAUUUUGGUUUCUCACAAUAAAUCAAUAAUUUAUCAACUAUUAGCGGUUCGUACUGUGCGAAUUAAAUUUGAAUACCGUCCAAUUAAAUAGAGUGCGUAGCAGACGGACACGCGUAUCCAGCAGCAAACAUCAGAACUAUCCCCAUCACAUUUCCAAUUACAUUGGGCCACCUUUUUGUUUUCCCAUUAAUUAACUAAGGAGAAAACUAACUAUGGCAUUAGAUACAGUACUAUACCGACAAAACAAUUUUGCCCAAAAACUUUAAAAUUUAUAUUCUACCUGCAUCGCACAUAAGAAAAACAUUAUACAUUUGAAGAGUUUCAUUGUUUACCAUCGUACAGCGGGAAAAUAGGUUUGAUUCUCCAAGCAUCUCUAUUUGGUAAAUUUUCGCUCGGAAAAUAGUCUUUACUUAUAGUCGACUGUGAAAAAUUCUGAUUGAAAAAUGUCAAUUGCUAAACAAUUAACGAAAAGUUACUAUCAAUUAAAACAUAAUCACAAUUUUAUGCUAAGGUCAGGUAUAAAAACAUAUUUAAUUAUUUGCAAUCAACAGAUUUAAAAAAAAAAAAAUUAUACAGAAAUUUAAGUACUUCAAAUUAAAGCUAGUAUGUGUGAUCACAUAAGUUUUUUUUAAAAACCUUGUGAUCAUAAACAUAAGUUCACAAAAAAAGAAGAUAAACUGAUACAUAAAGUCAAGCUGAUUCACAAAGUCACACAUAAUGUCAUGUUUUAAAUAUUCACAAUAAACAAAAAUUGUUAUUCUAAACAGCUAAAUAUAUUAAUAUUUAAAUGCCAAAUGAAUCGUAUUUUACGCUUUUUAGUUUUAAAUUAUUUAUAUCUGUUUUAAAAUUUUAAAUUAGCUAAUAACAUUAUGCAAAUAUAAAUAUAGACUUUAUGAUUAUAUAAAUUAUUUAAUAGCCAGUUUUUAUAUAAAAUAUGAUGGGAAAUGAAAUACAAUAGUUAGGAAUGAUUAAUGAUUAAUACAUAUAAAUUUAUUUGUUUCAUCUAUGGAAAAUGAUAAAUACUUUUUACUUUAUUUUACAAUAAUAUUUUUAGUAAAUAAAAUAUACAUACAAAAUUAAUUUCUUAAAAUAUCAUGUUUAAGUAGUACAUGAUCUGUAUACAUACAUAAUACACCUGUUUUAUUAACUUUCAUAUCUACAAACACAUGUGUAUGUAUAUAUAUAUAUAUAUAUAUAUAUAUAUUUACAUGUAUAUAUGUAGUUUAUAUCUUUAUUGAAUAUAAACUUGACGUUUGCGAUUGGAAAAUAAAUAAAGAGACUUGAAUUCUGAAAAUAAAUCACUUUUUAUGUUAUGUAAUUCAUAUUUCAUUUAAAUAUAACAAAAUGUGAUAUUUAGAGUUGUAAGAGCGUGAUUAUUGGGGGUUUUUAGGGUGUGGUUCUUAGCGGAAUAUAAGAAUCCGUCUCUUAACUUUUAACUAAAAAAACUAAGAACCGAUUCUUAAAUAUAUUAUAUUCCGCUAAAAACACCCUAAGAACCCCCAAUAAUCAUGUUCUAACUUGUAAAUAACUACGAGUGCCGUUCAAAAAAAAAGAGUUGUAACUGUGAGUUUGUUUCAUUCGUAAUUUUUUUUCUUGAUAAUAUAGGAUCCAGCAAACCAAAAUCCAACUGACUACUCCCAGUCAACCGGUACCAGACAUACCCAAUUGUUUGUAGUGGGAAUUAUAUACCCACGUCGACUUAUAAUACAAACAAGUAAAUAUAAAUCUGAUAGGUUUGGAUCCGGCAUGCUUAAUUAGAACCUUUUCCAAACCCGCCAUACCACCCAUAAUUAGAAAACAAUGUUAUUAUAUGAUGAAGAUUGAAGAGUCACAAAGCCUAAUGUUAGCAUGCAUUCGUUGCGAAGUAUAAUUGGAGUGCAUUGGAACUUGAUGAUUUGCUCCAUCCACAACACAGUUACACAGAUGUCUUAGUUCUUAAACAUAAUUAAGAUACAACUUAAGAAAAGCAAAACAACAUAAUCCAGGGCAUGCUUUUAACAUUUGUACCAAAAAAUAUACAAUACCAUAAACUAGCACUACAAGAAAACAUGAACGUUCAGACUACAUAAUCAGCCUGAACCAUACUGUAAGUGCAAGAUGCAAACACAAUAAGGUAAUGCAGAAGAUAAAUCAAGAGACAAAUACACAAGCAAACACCAAUGCUUUUAUUAAAAUCUCCUUUAAACAAUCUUUACAAGACUUGCUUAUUCAGCUUUUACAUGUCUAGUGUUAACACCCUAACACACGCUACUGAAAGAUUCCUAAGCUACCCGCUUAUGUCUCUUCUCCGUCAAGUACUUCAGCCACUGCUUCAGCACGACCCAAGAACACCUCCAAGAGCUUCUCUCUCUCUCUAAAAGAUCAGCCUCCGUGUCUUCGUCUCUAUACAGACGACCCCAUAGCUAUCUUAUAGUUAUUCUCCAUGUUCCUGAAACCCUAGUCUCCAAGGCAACAUAUAUGGACAUCUUCCAUAACAAUAAAUGCAACUUUCCUUUUCUUGGAAUGCAUUUAUUCCUCUUUCUUUAAGUCAUAAACUUGCUCCUCAAGUUUAUUCCUCUUUCCAUAUCUCCAAGAUACUCCCUUGCUCUCCAAGUCUACACGACUCCAGCUCAGCAUCUUGACUCCACAUGGUCUUCCCCACUUAACCCGACGUCUGCUUCAGCAACUACGUCAGCGACUACUUCAGGGCAGACAUCUUACAUCUUCAAUCUCCCCCUUUUAGCUUUGUGUGCCGAUCAAGCACAACACUCUUCUGGUUCAGCAACCACGUUCCUCACCUAGAAACUUUCAUACCAAAUGUGCUUUUCUCCCCCACGAAAUGUGCACCACACCAUGCUUUUCUCCCCCAUGAGAUAUGCAUCCUCUGUACCAGAAUAUCACCAUUUUCCCCCUGCUUGAUUGCAUACUAAGCUAAAACAGAUGCUUAGAUGUCAAGCUUUACAGACCUACCGUCUGUUUCUUCAUGUAUAAUCAUGACACAGCUCCUGCUGCAACGGAAUAACAAGUACUGCAUCACGAUCUGACGCACCUAUCGAGCUACCUCUCGACCCACUUAUGUUGAGGACCUGGCUACCUUCAUGUGUCGUCUCCUUGACCAUGAGCCCUUCCCCAUCCGCACCGAGUGCCCUCUGCACUCGUUGCUAUUGUCUUGGAGUGAUUUCACAAUCACACCCCUGAAGAUCAUCUCGCACCACUUCUUGACGCACUUCGAUCUCCUUCCCCUUUGUGCCAUAAACAACCUCGUGUCCUGGCUCUAAACUUGAUGCUUCUUGAUCAACCUCAAGAUCACUCCUACCAGAGCUGCAUCCAUCUUCUGAUGUCUUAUCCUUGAUCUCAUCAAGUAAGCCACUCUUGGCUAAGGACACCUCUUCAACCCUCCUGGGCUUAGUGAACGUCUUGUUCACCUUCUUGGCCAUGUUGCUGCUCUUUUCACGAGCAAAACACUCCACCUUCUUGUGUUCAACCUUCCCACAGAACCAACAGCACAUCCGAUGUUGAUUUUUUCUUGGCCUGACACAGUUGCUGAUGCACCGAUCAGUCUCCUUCCUUGUACCAGUUGCACAACCAUGCUUCAGAACCUCCUGUCUGACCUUCAUGUUGUUGCACUAAUGUACUACAUUCGGCUUGUUACUCACAGCUGCGCGCUGUAGAACUUCAUGCCUUACUCCCUGUCGUACGUCUCGACGUACUUCCUGACAAGCUCCUUUGGCUCCACUUUUUGAUGUGCUCCCAUGCACGAAAUGUGAUAGCCCCUUCUGUUGUACUUCCUUAGUACUCUCAGCUCCUCGAUAUCCCAGUCCCCAAUUCGCCUUGGCUGGUUGACCCAUCGAGAGUAUCUUAUCCAACUCCUUGGAUCUACUGUUGAGCAUCCUGAUCUGUUUGUGAUUGUAAGCCAAAUCAUGUUCCAGCAUCCUUGCUCUCUCUUGUUCACCAAUAGCAACUUUCCUCAGCUUGCUAUUUUCCUGCUCAAGAGACUCAUUCUUCUCAUUCACAGCCGCAAGUUCUUCACGAAGUUCUUCAAGCAACUCGUUCUGCUUCUGAGCCAUAUCCUCCAACAUCAGAUUCUGAUCCUUAACCCUCAACCACUUGUUAAGCAGCACAUGAUACUCCUCAUCAUCUGUGCUGAGAUCUGAAUCAGAGGACUUAAUAGAUCCCUCCUUGCGUGCACCAAAUGCAACAAGGUUCUUUAUCACCUUUCCAUCUUCUUCAGACUCUGAAUCAUCAGACGACUGCAAUGGAACUCCUUUCUCCUUCUUUGAGUUUGGACAUUCACGCCGUGUGUGUCCAACACCUCUGCACUCAGAACACUUAAGUUCUCUCUGUUGUGCUACAGGACAGUCAGCCCUUAUAUAACCAACACCUUCACACUCAUAGCAUCUAAGACGUUCUCUUCUUCUGUUAUUGCCACGAUCACCUCCCUAGCGACCAUACUGAUUCCACCCACCAGAGGAAUUCAUCAUCUUACUCAGAUUCCUAGCCAACAUCCCCAUGGCAUCUUCAACAUUCGGAGAUUUAUCUCCAUCUUUGUCAGCAGCAAGAGCUAUACUCCUUGAUGCACCACCUGACGUAGAGACUGAACUACUGUCUUUCUCCAUCUCUUGUGCCUUUAGUGUACCCACAAGUUUGUCAAGCUUGAGCUCAUCCGUGUUUGUAGUCAUCUGCAAGACCACCUUGUGAGCUUCAAAUUUUGUUGGAAGAAAACGUAGUAACUUCUUUACCAGCUUCUUCUCCUUGUACUUCUUCCCAAGUACAAAUGCUUCAUGCGCCAUUCCACUGAGUUUGGCACUAAAGCUCGUCACAGAAUCAUUAUCAGACCACCUGAGAUUCUCAAACUGCGACCCAAGAUGAUCUAGACGUGUCCUCUUGACACUCUCAUCUCCUUCAAACGAAUUCAGCAGGAUCUCCCACGCCUCUUUAGCCGAAGAAGCAGGAUCUCCCACGCCUUUUUAGCCAUAGUACUCCCAUGAAUAAGCUGAAACUGCUCUGCUUCAACAGCUCCAAAAAUCACCGACAACGCCUUUGCAUUAAAUUUUGAUGCAUUGCUUUCUGCCUCUGACCAAUCCUCUUUUGGUUUAGGCUUCUUCUCACCUUCUGUGACUAUGGUAGGCUCCUCCCAACUAAUCUCCACAGCUGUCCACACAUCUUCAUUGAUUCCUCGAAUCAUCUGCUUCAUGCGAGCCUUCCAAUGACCAUACUGGUCCGCAUUCAACACGACCGCCUUCUGCACAUAAAUAAUCGUGUCCAUCUUCACCUUCAGGAUAACACCGGUAACUUAGGUGCCCUGCUCUGAUACCACUUGUAAGUGCAAGAUGCAAACACAAUAAGGUAGUGCAGAAGAUAAAUCAAGAGACAAAUACACAAGCAAACACCAAUGCUUUUAUUAGAAUCUCCUUUAAACAAUCUUUACAAGACUUGCUUAUUCAGCUUUUACACAUCUAGUGUUAACACCCUAACACACGCUACUGAAAGAUUCCUAAGCUACCCGCUUAUGUCUCUUCUCCGUCAAGUACUUCAGCCACUGCUUCAACACGACCCAAGAACACCUCCAAGAGCUUCUCUCUCCCUCUAUAAGAUCAGCCUUCGUGUCUCUGUCUCUAUACAGACGACCCCAUAGCUAUCUUAUAGUUAUUCUCCAUGUUCCCGAAACCCUAGUCUCCAAUGCAACAUGCAUGGACAUCUUCCAUAACAAUAAGUGCAACUUUCUUUUUCUUGGAAUGCACUUAUUCCUCUUUCUUUAAGUCAUAAACUUGCUCCUCAAGUUUAUUACUCUUUCCAUAUCUCCAAGAUACUUCUUUGAUCUCCAAGUCUACACGACUCCAGCUCAGCAUCUUGACUCCACAUGGUCUUCACCACUUAACCCGACGUCUGCUUCAGUAACUACGUCAGCGACUACUUCAGAGCAGACAUCUUACAUCUUCACAUGCGGCAAUGCUAAGAUCGGCAUACGUAGACGUUUUCUGUUUACGUUACAUUUGCUAAACCAUAUAUUAUUCACCCACCGACCCACAUAAUUCCCACUUCACUUGACGUGGAACAAGGCAAAAAGUUACGUCAUAGGAGUAUAUGAUAAAAUUAAAUAAUGGAACUCGAGAUCAAGUGAUCGACAAAUUAAUUAGCCAUAAAGAGAGAAAAAUAUCUUACUUGUCUAGUAAGAGUAUAACUAUCGCUGAGUUUCGUGACACGGUUUCUUAGGAAAUUUUUUAAAAUUUUUUUUUGUCUAAAAAAAAUCAAAUCAAAUUGAAUCAUUCGCGAACCGCCACGUGUUAGUGGGAUCUGCAAACAGUGCAAGAAACACUCUAAAAUCGGUCUUUAUUUCAUUACUUCUGUAACCGAUUCUUACUUUUUUGUGGGGCCCACGCCAUUAGAAACCCACUAACCAUCCGCGACAAUGGUGGCCUAAAAUGGGAUAGGAACAGGACCGGCUCAACAUUGCUGGAUCCUAGGGCAAAAAAUAAAUUUACUGUCUAAAAUUUAUAUACAGAUAUGUUUAAAAUAUUAUUAAAAUUUAAUCAAUAAUAUUUUGUGUAUUUUGAAAUAGAAAUAAAACUAUAUACAUAUCAAAUAAUUUUAGACCCAUUCAAUUUUAUUUAUUAUUAUAUUUAUAUUUUUUUAUGAUUUAUAAAAAAAAUGGAUCUCUUAAUUAUUAUUAUAUGGGGAUGCGGACUUGGCUCCGGGGACCGCUUGUUCCCCCCUCCCCCGCCCCAAUGAGCAUGUCCUCGAUAGGAACAGUAAGAAGCAUCUUUAACGGAGACCCUUAAUGGAGUGCUAAGUGGUGGGUCCCACCAUAAGAGAAAAAGAAGAGGUGCAAAAAACGUCAGAUUAAGCGUCGAGUUUUCCACUGUUUUGCGGGCCUCACUGACACGUGACGGCCCGUGAUUGAUUUGUUUUUAAUUUUAAUUUUUUUUAAUCAGACAAAAAAUCAAAAAAACAAAAUUAAGGGUGCUAGGGUUAAUGGGGUGCUAGGGUUAAGGGUGCUAUUACUUUCCAGCAUGAAUUAUCUCUAUUUUUUUCUCAUUGUAUCCGUUGGAAUUGCUCUAACACAGUACUCGUGUAGUUGAAGAAAAUAUUAUUAGUUUAAAUUUUAAUAAUAAUACUGGUUGCUGCUAGUAGUGAAGGUUUCAUGGAUAUUUUAAAAAGAUUUAGGCAUUGACAAAAAGAAAGAUCAAUUUUUCUUUAUUCUUUAAAAUUACAGAAUUUAUGAAUAUUUUUUUUUAUCAUAGCCAACUAUUUUUAGUACCUUUAAACUAAUUGUAAUUUUAUAAACUUUUUUUUGACAUUUACAAUUUCUCAUUAUUAUCUAAUAAAAUAGAUUAAAAUACAAAAGUAUUUUAAAAAUAGAUUUUUAAAUUGUAUAUCAUAUCAUCUAAAAACAUUCAAAUCGAGGAAGUAGCUAUUACAUUUUCAAAUGUCAACUAAAAUGCUUUAUUUGUUAUGUUUUGGUUGUAAAUUGUUAGCUUUAACAACAAAAACAGAGUUUUUGAAAAAUGAAUUACAUCAAACGGGGAAAUGCUAUAUGUGCGUUGUGAGUUUUAAUAAGUAGGAUCCUCUUACAAUUCCAAAACCAAGAUUUAUAAAAUAUCCAGAUAUGUAGUAAAGAAAUAGUGCUAUAUACAAACAUUCAUCAUCAAAUAUUCAUUCGAACACGUAAUAUACCAAAAAAAAAACGAAUUAAUGGUUAUAGAAAUGGAAGCUUACUCAAAUGACAGCAAUUUACAAAACAUGGUAGGUAAAAGUACUCCAAUUCACAAGCACUUACAUAAAUAAUAGUCACGGAUCAAUUUAAAAUUUGAAAAACGAUAAAUCAGCAUCCGAGUAACUACAAUUUUUUUUAAAAAAGAACCGGUUAACUCGGUAAACCAGUAAAUUAAACAAACAAACAAAUAAAUAAAUACAGAUAAAAAACCUUCCAUUUUCUCCACCUCUUUGUCAGAGAAGAAGUUUCGAAAACCUCCACACACUCACUCACGCUUUACACUCUCCUUCCUUCCUUCCUCUUCGAUCCUUGACUCGUCCUUAGGAAGGAGAAGCAGUAUAUACAAUGUCGCCGCCGCGGUUUUCCAUCUUCGCUUUGGCUCUUCUCUUCGGACUCUCUCUCGCCGAGGAUCCUGCCAUCUCCUACGUUUACGAACUCUCUUACCUCACUGCCUCUCCUCUCGGCGUUCCUCAGCAGGUUUUUCGUCUCGAUCUAAUCCGAUCCUCUUUUUUAAACACGUAGUGAUUCACAAGCUCGUGUAUCGUUACUUGCUCCGUAGGGAUCUUAGUGUUUUGAUCGAUUCUGUUUUGUUGCAGGUUAUAGCAGUCAACGGAAUAUUCCCUGGCCCCGUUGUAACUGCCACAACAAACUAUAACGUCGAAGUUAACGUGUUCAAUCGUUUAGAUGAGCCUCUUCUACUCACUUGGUGACUCAUCUUUUUUUUUUUUUCUUUUUUUAUUUGUUCUCUGUUUGUGAUUUUUACUGACAUUUUGUGUGAUUUGUUUGAAUAAAGGAAUGGGAUUGAGAUGCGGCGUAACUCGUGGCAAGACGGUGUUCUCGGCACGAACUGUCCCAUCCCUCCGCAAUGGAACUUCACUUACAGCUUCCAAGUCAAAGAUCAGAUCGGUAGUUUCUUCUACUUCCCUUCCCUCAACUUCCAAAAAGCUUCAGGUGGUUUUGGUCCCAUCGUAAUCGAUAACCAGGAUCGUAUUCCUCUCCCGUUCGCUAAGCCUGAUGGCGAGAUCACCUUCAUGAUUGGUGAUUGGUAUACUCAGAACCACACCGUAAGUGUACUACUUGCUUGGUUCCUGUCUAUAAUUGGUGUUAUAUAAGUUGUAACGGUGAAAAGUUUGUUGCUUUAUUAGGUGUUAAGGAGUGUACUUGACUCUGGUAAAGAGCUAGAGAUGCCUGAUGGAGUCCUCAUCAAUGGGAAAGGUCCUUACAAGUACAACAGCAGUGUACCUGAUGGGAUUCGAUACGAAACUGUCAAUGUUGAUCCAGGGAAAACGUACAGGAUCCGUGUUCACAAUGUUGGCAUCUCCACAAGCUUGAACUUGAGGAUUCAGAGCCACAAGCUGCUCUUAGUCGAAACCGAGGGUCGCUACACCUCACAAACAAACUUCACUGAUUUUGAUAUCCAUGUGGGACAGUCUUACUCUUUCUUGGUCACCAUGGACCAAAACGCCUCGAGCGACUACUACAUUGUAGCGAGUGCUAGAUUCGUGGACGAAACGGUGUGGCAAAGAGUCACAGGUGUUGGCAUUCUCCGUUAUUCGAACUCCAAAGGUCCUGCUUCUGGUCCUCUUCCGGUUCCUUCAACUGAUGUUUCUCACCCUUGGACUGUAAUGAACCAACAGAGGGCCAUAAAGUAAUGUCUAUCAAAACUCUCUCAAGCGAGUGUGUAUAAGUGUAAAUCCUGAUUCUUUUUUUUUUGUCAUGUGUGCAGGCAAAACACAUCUUCGAGUGGAGCUCGUCCGAAUCCUCAGGGAUCAUAUCACUACGGGCAGAUAAAUAUCACAGGCACGUACAUUUUUAGAACCAUGGCUCCGACCAUAAUCAAUGGGUCGCUUCGUGCUACGCUUAAUGGAGUUUCGUUUCUGAAUCCAAGUACGCCCAUGAGGCUUGCGGAUAAGCAUAGUGUCAAAGGAGUUUAUAAGAUGGAUUUCCCAUCUAGACCUGUUGACAGAAGACCUCCUCGUUUGGGAAGCUCUAUCAUCAACGCAACGUACAGGAGCUUUGUUCAAAUUAUAUUCCAGAACAAUGACACCAAAGUCCAGAGCUUCCAUAUUGAUGGAUACUCUUUCUACGUCGUUGCGUAAGAUAAUCAUCAUGCCUUUCUUAUAAUUUGCACAUUGUUCUAUCAGUUUUUUUUAAUUUCUCUGACAUGUGUUGUAGAAUGGAUUUUGGUAACUGGACUGAAGACAGAAAAGGUUCUUAUAACAACUGGGAUGCAAUAUCACGAAGCACGAUAGAGGUUGAUUCACAUUUACAAUCACAAUCUGCCUCUUUUGUACACACCAUUUUGUUGUUUACUUUGUUUUUGUUUUGAUGUUUGCUUCAGGUUUACCCAGGAGCAUGGACUGCUGUACUGAUGUCACUCGAUAAUGCUGGAGUUUGGAAUAUCCGAGUUGAGAAUCUUGACAGAUGGUAUCUUGGUCAAGAAACAUACAUCCGAAUCAUAAACCCUGAGGAGAACGGUAAAACAGAAAUGGGUCAACCCAAAAACGUUCUUUACUGUGGUGCUCUCAGGAGCUUGCAGAAGUGAGCAUUAGAUACUUCACUGAUCUCUACUUCCUCUCAUAUCUCCUUUAGAUGAUGAUGUGUGAAAAUUUUGAGACAUUUUUCUUUUGUGACUUUGUGCAGGCAACAAGUCCAUAGCUCUGCAUCAUCAAUGCUAAUUGGAAAUUUGAUUCUAAUUUUCAGCUUCAUUAUGGUUCUGCUCGCCUCACCUUGCUGAGUCUCUUUCUGAUCUCCCACUGGUUAGGUCGUAUAACACGAACUGUAGGACUCUCUUAUUUCUUCUUCUUUGAUUUCAUUAAUUGGUUCUGUUCUCAGAUCUUUUGCUUCUCAUGGUUCAAAACAACUUUAGUUCGUGGGGGUUGGUUUAUGUCUCAAGCAUUGUAACUAAAUAUUUUUAUGGGUCUUCUACAUUAUCCAUAGUUAUAACUUUAUUUCAAUAUUCAAGAGUCGUAGAAUUUUUAUAUCAUUGUAGCUUUAAGCACGAUAACAAAGAAAACAAACCAUAGGUAGCCUUAGAGUCCAGAAUUGAAGGGUAUGCCGGUGCCUGGGAGCCAUGCGGUACCGGCGAUGAAGCUUCCAACAGUGAAAGCAGAUGCAUCGGAAGCUCUAUUCAACACAUGAAACCCUUUCCAACGAACACGCCCGCUCGUGGACGAAGCUGGUCCGGUAUUAUUAUACUCAGCGUAGAACAAUGUGUCUAAACCGAAAUCCGAACCUUUAAGCCACGGCGACCAACCUAACGGACUCACAACACUAUCCAAAUACGUCUGGAGAACCACGGUGCGCGAGUACUUCAUCCACGGCCUCCCCAUGUACGUCUUAACGAUACUCAUCACCGGUAUUAGAUCAGGAGCCGGUAGGAUAGUUGAGUUAUGGAUGGAAAUUCCAGUGUUCUGAAACGGAUGUGCACGAGCUUGCGCGGUUAUUACAUUGGCUUGACCCUUGAGCGGGCGGCGUGGGAGGAUGAGACAGUUUUGGAAGACUGCGGCCGCGUUUCCAAAUAUGAAAUCUACGGUUCCGUAAAUGUAGCAGUCGCGGUAAAACUGGCGUUGGGAAUGGACCAACAAUGUGUCUUGGUAUCCUUCAAUUGAGCAUUGGUAGAAGAUUGAGAGGUCCGAGGAUGACCGGAGUGCCACUGCCUGGCCCUUGGCUGGACCCGCCGUGUUCCGGAAUGUUAGGCCUUUGGCUAUGAAGUGAAGUCCCUCGAUACCUGGAUCACAUGCAAUGGAGCCAGUUGUUACAUAGCGAGGGAAAAAAUGAAAUAAAUUUUCAAAUGGUAACGCUUACUUCUUUUGCGGGAAAUAAAAGAUAACCGUUACGUUUUUAUUUCUAAUUUUUUUUUAGCUAGUGCUAAUCAUUGAUACCUAUCCCAAUGUAUGAUUUACCUUGAAAAUCCAACACGUACGGAAAUUUUCGAAUUUUUUAUUACUGACAUAAUAGAAAUUUGUUAUAUUGAAAAAUACUAUAAUUUUGUUUGAUCCAUCCAUGCAUUAAUAAAUAAAAUAAAAUAAAAUAAAAUUUAGGAGAAUUAAAUUAUUUACCGGCAGUGGCGGAAUUGUAAGUGGUGUAACCAUCUUUGACACUACGACCACCGGUGAUAAUCGUAGAUCCUAUCCCAUCUCCGACCAACAUAAUGUUAUCGUUAUUGCGACGCACGUUUAUGUUUUCUUCAUAUACUCCUCCCUUCACGUGUAUAACGAACCUCCCUGACGUCACCUUUCUCCUUCCCGCCACGUCAAUAGCCGCUUGCACCGUCGUGACGUGUCCCGAUCCGUCUUUAGCCACUACGAGGUUAGCUCGGACAUCACUCUCAGAAUGCAACUGUAGAAGUCUUCUCUCUUUCCCGGAAACCCACGUCGGAAAACCCUUCCGAUCAGCCGUGGCGGUGGUCAAGAGGGCUCCGUUGACGGUUAAGCUGUUGCUCAUGAGAUUGGAUAUUUCGGUCUUUGAAACGAUAGGUGUGAUGAAAUCUGAGACGUUGAAAUCUGUUGUGCCGUGUCGGCAGGUCUCGGUGUUUGUAAGUGCGGUGCUCAGCCACGUCUGAGCAUCGAAGUCGGUGCAGUACUGUUUUCCGGAACUAGCUUUUGGGGACAUGCACUUUAGCGUCCGGUUCAACUGCAUGAUAGUGUCUCCGUAGAGGUCGAUGCAGUCGGCUAAAACGGCUUGUUUCUGGCCAUCAGUACAGUUAAGGCUGGAACUAGCCAGCUCGUUCCGAGCAGAUAUCGCCCGAUGCAUGGCUGCUUCAACAAGCAUUACUCGAAAAUCGGAUAAUUGUGUGGGAGGUCGAAAACCGUUACGGUUUAUAAAGUAGCGUUUGCAUGGAUCAGGGUGAGGAGUUUUGUAGCACCACUGGUCAAUGCCGGAUACAGUGAUAAGAAGAUGGAGACAGAGUAGAAAUGGUAAUCGUAAACGUAGAAGAUAAGAGAUUUUGUGCAUCAUCUUAUCCUAGCUAAGGAAUUGAAUGUAAUUUAGAGUAAAAUGCUAAAGAUGUAUUGUGGUGGUAUUAACAUUAAAGCAAACAAAAUUUAUAUUGCAAGGUCCAUGACUCAUGAGUGAGAUCUACAUUUGCGUCAAUAUUGUUAUAGCUCGACGGCUGUUUUCUUAUUACGUGAACGUUUCUAUCACUAUUAAUUUUUGGGAUGGCCUUUUAAUAUACUGAGAGCAUCUGCAUCGCUAAAGUUUUUUUUUUUCCUUUCUUUUUUCUGAUUUAAAAAAGAAAAAACGCACCAAUCGCGGACCGCCACGUGUGGGUGGGACUCGCGAACAGUGCAAAAAACACACAUCAUACAUUUCUUAUUGUGCACACUUUGUAUACGGUUUAUUCCAAAAUCGUGGGUCCCCCCUUUAGAGACGCGCAGAGACCGCGAUGCAGAUGCUGAUAGAAAUACAAAUGCCGGAUCAUUCUUUUUAAUUAUUAUUACUUAUUAUUCUUAUAAUUUGACAAAAUAAAUACAAAACAUAUCAACAAAUGUUUGUCUAAGCCUUUCGUCAAAAAAAAAAAACAAAUGUUUGUCUGAAAUAUUACCACGACUCUAGUAGUGUAGGUUAGACAUAUCAACAACGUUUUCCUUUGUUUAGUAAUGGACUAAGGGUAGAGAAUAUUACAAAUGUGGUUUUAUCAACAUAUAAAAAUAAAACCAAGUGGUGGUAGUCUAAUGGUAAUUUUUUAGGGUUUAGUGUGUACCCACGUCAGUUAUGGAUUCGAUUUUCCUUCGGAACUAAAUUAUCGAUAUUUGGCCGGUCUGAGCUUGGGUUUCAGCCUAAGUGGUUUACAUUGUAGACCGUAACAGAUGAUCGGUCCACCUCCUGGAAUUAGUUGGUGGGUAUUCCAAAAUCGGGUGAAGCAGUAUAGUACGCUUUCGGACUAGUCCACUCUGUAGCAUUAAAUGUGUUAUUUAUGGGGCUGACCAGAUUAGCCGAUAGGGCUUAUAAAAAAACAGAUAAAAAUAAUAAAAUGAAUACAAUUUUUUUUUUUGAUAAGUGGAUAUUACUUUAACUCAAAAUAGACUUUUCAAAUAUAUAAUAGCAAAUAUUUCUAAAAUAAAAUAUUUUUGAAAUAUUGUUUUCCUUGGUUUAAGGUAGUAAAGAUUAAUCAUUGUUAGAUAUUAUGAUUUUUGUUAUUUAAAAAAAAUCAUUAUAAUUUUAAAAGUUAACAUCGACAAAUAUUUAAAUAUUUAGCAUAUAGAGGUAUAGUAUUACAAUAUUAAAUUAUAUCUAUUUAAUUUAUACUAUCUAUAAAUCCAAUGAAUCAUCUAUUGUUUAAAUCUAAUUAUUGAUACCUAAUAAAAAAUUUUGGUAAGCCCAAAAUUUAAAUGAUAAGAUUAUAUAUUAAAUGUAACAUGACUUUUUACGAAUAAGAUCCAUUUUUUAAAAAAAUUACGCAUGAAUCAAUGUUGUUACUUCUGUUUUAAUAUAUAAAAUUAUCAAAUAAAACUGGGGCCAAAUAUCUUCCUCGAACCGGGGGUCUCUCUCAUUGUGGUAUGAACUCUAAACACCCUGCCGUUUUCAUAUCUAUAAAACAACACGUAUUUCACAAUAACACAGAGCUUCUGUCCCCUACGGCAAAACCUUGAAGUCCCUCCUCCUCCGUCACAAGCCGCACACAAAGUAGCAAGAGAAUGUGGAAGCUGACGUCACGAUUCCGGCCGCAUAUCAACUCGAACUCAUGGUUGAUCCGGCACUUCAGCAGUGGAGAAGCCACGGGUCUCUACGGCUUCGACCAUCUUAAAACAGCCAAAGGAUUUCAACGUUUCGUCGCUGAUGCCAUUGAAAGGUUUGAUUUUUAUGUCACUAGAGACAGUGUUGUUAUGUUAUUUUGGUUAUUGAAGAAAUCUUCUUUCUUCUCAGGUCUGGGGAGUUAGUGAGCUACAUAUCAGGAAUGCCUUCUUCCCCAGAGAUUAUUAAAGCCAUGGAUGAGAUUUCAGACACGGUAGGUUUCUUGUUUAUAAGCUCUUUUGUUUCUUGUAGUGAUUGAUGUCUUCUGAAUCUCUGUAGGUUUGCUGUGUUGUUGACUCUGCUGAACUCUGUAGACAAACCCAUCCUGACAGGUCUUUUUAUUCUCUCUAUUUCUCAAUGCUUGGUUUGGUUAUGUUCUAUUGAUUAAAACGGUUUACUUUCCUCCCAUCUUAUAGGGAAUUUGUUGAGGCAGCUCAUAAAGCAGCAAUUGAUAUGAAUGACUAUCUACAUGUGAGGUGACCAAUGAUUUUGCUCAUUGACCAUUCUUCUUAUUAAGACAUGACUGAACUUUCCUUUUUUUUUUUUUUUACCAUUGUUCUUGUUAAGACAUGAGUAUGUAGGCUGUCUGAAAAUCUCUGCAAUUUUAUUCUUAAAAAUAGCUUUACUUUUUUCAUGUGGCUUUUUCUUUUGAUUUUACAGCAACUUAACACAAAUCACACUCUGUAUGCUGCGGUGAGAAAAGCAGAGCAAGAUUCCAAUCUGCUUACAGAAGAAGCAAGUAGGACAGCUCAUCACCUCCGUAUGGACUUUGAACGGGGUGGCAUUCAUCUUGACCCUGGUUUGUGUUAUCUACAUUACCGUGAUUUUUUUAACCCUUUUAUGAUGUGUCUUUUUUGUAAUUUAUUAUAUUCCUUUCGCAGAGAAGCUAGAAAAAGUGAAUAACUUAACAACCAACAUUUUUCAGCUAUGCAGCGAGUGAGUACCCGCCAUGAUUACACAUUUAUCGAUUCUUUGUGCUGUUAGUAGUACUAACAUCCUUAAUGAUCUAUAUAUUCAGGUUCAGCGAAAACAUUGCUGAUGAUCCAGGACACGUUGAUAUAUUUCCAGUGUCACGCAUCCCUCGACACCUGCAUCAUCUUCUCACCCCUGUCUACAGAUUCAGUUCAGGGGGUCUAAGAGGGUCUAAAAGAGCAGCUCACGCUUCGAAACAGAAGGGAUUUCGGAUACCUACUGAUCAACGAACCCUUUCUUCCAUUUUGCAAUGGACAUCAGACGAAGAGGUUUCUACUACUUUAACCUUAACUAAUAAUACAAGUGGGUAAAAAAAGGGAAAUGUCAUUUUUAAUACUUUUUUUUUAUUUAUUUUUUCCAGGUUAGGAAAAUGGUGUAUGUUGAAGGGAACUCUGUUCCUCAGGCGAAUCACGGUGUUCUUGAGAAGCUUAUUGCUUCACGCCAUGAGCUUGCCCAGGUUAGUUGCUUAUUUUUAUCUGUGGCUAUAUUUUACUUAUUGUUAACUUUAUGUUUUUGGUGGUUGAUGUCAGAUGAUGGGGUGUAAUUCUUACGCUGACUUCAUGGUGGAGCCAAACUUAGCAAAAUCGCCAAAGGUUGUGACAUCGUUCCUACAAGAACUGAGCAGGACAGUCAAACCAAAGGCGGACCAAGUAAGCUGACCUGACCUUCACACAAAAUGCUCUUGUUGUGGAAACUAAAGGUUCUAAUAAUAAUGUUCCAAUCUCCCCGUAGGAGUUUAUUGCCAUUAGAGACUUUAAAAGAGAGAAAUGUGGUGAUAAAUCAGCAGAACUAGAGCCAUGGGAUGAAACUUAUUAUACUUCAAUGAUGAAAUCCUCUGUCAAUGAUGUGGACACAUCUGUAAGUUGUUUCUCCUAUUUGAUUUCCCUCUAGUGUGCUGCAGUCUCUUAUCAUGCUGUGUGGAAUACUCUUUUACAGGUUGUAGCAUCAUAUUUUCCUCUGCCUCAGUGUAUUGAAGGCCUAAAAGUGCUUGUUGAAUCAUUAUUCGGUGCAACAUUCCAUACCGUUCCUCUGGCUCCAGGCGAAUCCUGGCACCCAGAUGUGAUUAAAAUGUCUCUUCAUCACCCAGACGAGGUAUGUUGUUUACACAACUAAGACAAUCCUUACAUACAUCUUGUUACAAAUCUUGUCAAUUGUUGUCUACUUCAGGGUGAUCUAGGGUAUCUAUACCUUGACUUGUAUUCAAGAAAAGGCAAGUACCCUGGCUGUGCUAGCUUCGCAAUCAAAGGAGGACGCAAGAUCUCUGAUACAGAAUACCAACUUCCUGUAUGUAGCUUUGAUCAAAUUUCAUUUUUUAAACCAUAUUCUUACACUCUAGCGCGCUGAUCUGAUUCUAUUGCAGGUUUUGGCUCUGGUUUGCAAUUUUUCUCGAGCUAGUGAUUCUUCAGUGGUGAAGCUUAAUCACUCUGAAGUUGAAGUUUUGUUCCACGAGUUCGGACAUGCUCUGCAUUCUCUGCUCUCACGAACGGUGCUGCACAAAAACUCAUCAGUACAAGAAAGCUAAUUACGAUCUUUCUUUCCUGAUUUGCUCUCUGCAUGUUCUGGAUGUUUUGCAGGAUUACCAACACUUUUCCGGUACUCGGGUGGCUCUUGACUUGGCAGAAAUGCCUUCAAAUUUAUUUGAGUGAGUAUAAUAACUCUCAACUAUAUAAUUCUCUUGUGUUGUCAAAAAAACCUUCUAAUGAAUGUCUUACCUCAGGUACUACGCAUGGGACUAUCGCCUCCUGAAGAGGUUUGCUCGGCAUCACUCAACCGGUGAGACUAUCCCCGAGAAGUUGGUGAAGUCAUUACAAGGUGCCAGGAACAUGUUUGCAGCAACCGAAAUGCAACGCCAGGUCUGAUUAUAUUCGGUUCAACUCUCAAAUAUGUAUAUCAAUGUUCAAGAAAUCGUUAGGCAGUAAUUAGAUGCUUUAUAUAGGAUUAUUGAUUAGGUGGGUGCAUAGACCGAUUUUUUAACUCCUAGACUGAUUUUUUGUAAAAUCUUUCUAGAAAAACCGUUUCGCUUAGUAUCAACAUCAAUUUUGAUUUUUCUGGUAGGUGUUUUAUGCGUUGAUCGACCAAAUGCUAUUCGGAGAACAACCAGCGACACCAAGAGACGUGAGUAAACUCGUGGCUGAACUGAAACGGGAACACACUAGCUGGAACCAUGUAGAAGGAACACAUUGGCAUAUACGAUUCAGUCACUUACUGAACUACGGAGCAGGUCUCUCUCUCUCUCUCUCUAACAUAAAAUAAAAUGCAUCAUUCCAAGUGUUCUUUUCUAUUUCCUGUAACGUUUGUGUCCUAUGUGUGCAGGGUACUAUAGUUACAUAUACGCCAAGUGCUUUGCGUCGACCAUAUGGCAAUCAGUAUGCGAAGAGGAUCCGCUUUCGUUGAGCACGGGGACGCUGCUGAGAGAGAAGUUCUUCAAACAUGGAGGAGCUAAAGAUCCAGGGGAGCUUCUCAAGGAUCUUGCGGGGAAAGAGAUCAUUAGUGUUCAUGGUGAAGGCAUAGUCCCUGCAACCACAUGCCUUUUAAAUGAGCUGACACUGUGAUAGAAGGUGGAAAAGUAUGUUUUGUAACAAAACAAAAGAACUUUUUGACUUCAGCUCAUAACGAGUGUGUUUCUAGUAAAAUUCAAUUCGGCUAAAUCGGUCCGAACCAAACGAACAAAACCUGAACCAAGAGAAUUUUUUAUUUGGUUUGGAAAUGCUAUACCUUUUGGGUUUUGUUUUAUUGAUUAUUUGUUUCCUUUUGAGUUUACCAAUUCAAUACUCGGCAUAUAUAAGUGAAAUUGAGAAUCGAACCAAAAUAAAACACAAAAAAAAAAAUGAAUUAAUACUUGAUAUUGAUUUGAGCUCUAAAAUAUUUGAACGAUCAUGUACGUCUGUAUUUCGGAUGUUGGAUAUUAUCGGAACUUGAACCUAAGUACCUAACCAUACCCAAAAAACUAAAAAACAACAAACAAAUUUCUUAAGACCCAAAAAUCCAAAUUAGUACAUCAGAAAUAAAUAUUCAAAACCUAAAUAAGUAUUUCGAACAUUCAAUUUUUAUAGUUAUUUUGUUCUAACUCAUAAAAAAAAUACAUGAAUAGAAUAUGAAUGGAGUAUUGUUAGGUGACUGAAAAUGAAUCUUACAUAGAGUUAUAAAAUAUACUUAAAUAUGAAAUAUUAUUAACCAAACCUGAUCAGAAUAUAUAAAACUCGAAGAUGGCCUACGAAGUCACACCAGAAAAAUCCUAGCAUGUUCAACAUCCAGUAGAAACUAAAAAAAGAACAGACCGGAGAGGCCUAUUCAAAAUCGAGUAAAAUCCGAAGAACUGAACUGAACCACCAUCACACAUUUAUGCAAAGCCUCAAAUGACGUGUAGUGUUUCCUCGUGAAACGAAAACGAAAUGUAGUCUUGAAGAAACGGCGCGCAUUGUGACUUUGAACUGGUUUAUGACAACACGACGCCGUGUUGGAGUUAGGCUGAAAAACAAUAUCCUCCUCCUCAACUAUCCGACCACAAAACAAAUCAACUGACAAAAGAAAAUGGCGCUACAAAUCCACACUUCGUGUUCCUUCUCCGCGAGACCCUAUCAUCUUCACCAUCUCGUCACGAGCAUAAACCCUAGAUUCUCAAUCAAAUGUCAGAAUUCACAAAUCGAAACCGAGACGACAGAGGAUCCGUCACAACCCAGGAAACCGAGCUCCUCCGGGGUUGGAUUCGGGUCGCCGGCUCCUUCAUCUUCUCCGGCUAAGAAAGGGAAAGGGAAGAAAGAGGUGAUCAGGCGCUCUCCCGUGGAGAAACCGGUGUUCAUCAGCGAAGAAGGUGCGGCCAAGGCGGAGGAGCUGAGACGGAACGAGAAUGCUUUUCUUCUUGCUUGGCUUGGCCUUGGUGGCGUUAUCCUCGUCCAAGGGCUUCUUCUUGCUGCUUCAGGUACCUCUUGAAGAAUGCAUCAGUCUUGUUUUGGUUAGAUUGGUAUAGAAAUGUUAGGCAAGAACAAUCAAAUCAUUAGGGGUAAAAUCAUAUAAGAGUGAAGUUUGGUCUGAAUUCGACAAGCUUAUGUUUGUUUGUCUUAGUUUUUUGUCUUAUCACUCUAUGAGAUGGUGUUGUGUUUCCCUGUAAAUAUAGUUGUAACUAUGUGAUUCUUCAGUGGCUUAUACAUGAGUAUAAAUAUUUACGAAAUAUCUAAAUCAUAAUAAUUGAUUAGUAUUUUGUUUUCAAUUUAUAUAAGUUUUAAAUCGUUUUAUAACAUCUCUUGGCGUUCUUUGUUUUUAUAUCACGUUUCUGCAGGCUUCCUUCCAGAAGAGUUGGAUAAGUUGUUUGUGAAGUAUGUGUAUCCGGUGUUUACUCCUUCGGUUGGAUUAUUUGUGGCUGGAACAACUGCAUAUGGAGUUCUUAAGUACUUACAAAAUGAGAAACUCAAGGAUCAAAAGUGAUUUGUACCUAUGGAUAUUUUGUGGUAGCCUGUGAUUGUGAGAGGUUGGUGUUUAAUGGUUUAGGGUAAGUGUGUUUGCAAGUGGAGUGGAUAUACUCUAGUCAGAAGAGUUUGUGUAUUGAUCUGAUCUUUGUCCUUGUAUAUGCAUGCAAGAGAUGGUUAUGUAAAAAUAAAAAUAUGUUGGAAGAUAUAUUCAGGUUCUAUUAUCAUUUUAUCCUAAACAAAAAUCAGAGUCGAGCUCUGUAAUGUCUUGUGCCAUAAACAUAGAACCUGUUUAUCAUCUAUCAUCGUAUAGUUACGUUAACUGAUACGAUAAUAGAACCUGAAUAUCGUAUAGUUACGUUAACUGAUAUCAGAAGAAACUGUGAAAACGGGCUAAACACCCAGAGGCUUGCCCAGUCGUUUUACAAACAGAUCCGGUCUUAGAGAAAACUCUCAACUUAGCAAAGCUAAAAACAUUGAAUUUUAUUUAUCAUUUUAACAUUUAGUUUUCAAAAGUUGUUCAUUUUAAUCAUCAUAUUACGUUGACUAAACCAUUUUGGAUACACUAAAAAUCAACCUAUUGUAAAAUGAAGCGCAUCCCCUCAACAUUUUUGCAACCACCUGCCCCUAAGGCCAACAUUAUCCGCGAGUCGUUAAUAAUUGGUCCUUAAAAUUUUUUUUAUCCGAUUUAAAAAAAAAAAAAAUUAAAAACGAACCAAUCGCGGGCCAUCACAUUUCAGUGGGGUCCGCGAACAGUACAGGGACCAAAUCAAAAUGUCUCUUAGUUAGAGAUUUUUUCCCUCGAUUCUAGUGUUUUUGUGGACUCCCUCCUCUUAAUGACCAAACUAAAGACUGCAAUAAUGUUUGUCCUACCACCCAGAGCAUGCUGAUCUCACACACUGAAACAAAUGAUAUAUGCAAACUUAAAUCAGAUAUUUUAAAAUAUAAAUACAAAUUAUAUUAACAUUUCAAUUGAUUAUUUAAAAGUUAAAAUUCGUGAUAACUCUUCUAAAAGUUAAAAUUAAAAAUUUUGUUUUAAUCUUUAACAAAUAUUGAUACAGAUUUUUACUUUUUUAUAGAAAUGUAUCUAAUUAAAUACUAAUAUAAUUUAUGACAGGGACUGAGUAUCUAAAUCAAACAUUAUUGUCCAACAAAAACCACAGAGAAUAUGCACUGGACUAAAUAUGGGCUCAGGUAAAAUCUAAAAGCCCAUUAAGAUGUAGCAAAAGAAAAACCUAGUUUAGCUUCCGUGUCUCUUACUUUAUAAGCUAACAUCACCCGUCUCCUACAAAAUUCGUCGCCCAGUUUCUUCAUCAACUCAGCGGCUCCUAUCUUCUUUGUUCUCUGGUAAAACCUCAUUUAAGGAUCUAUACAGUCUUAAUCUCUGUAUGCUCGUUUUGAAUUCGAACUGUUCUCUAGAAAUGGUUUCUUAAGCUUAGUUUCCUAUAUAUAUUAUGGUUUCGAAUUGAUAUACAAUAAUCUUGUUUUGUUUUGGAUGUAUGAUGUUUAGCUUAAGGAACUUGAAAAGAAAGGUAGUAGAAAGCUAUGGCUUACCCACCACCAAUGAAGCAAGGAAAGACUGGAUUUGAGGAGCCACAAGAGCAGAUUCACAAGAUCAGAAUCACUCUCUCCUCAAAGAACGUCAAAAACCUUGAGAAGGGUGAGAUUCAUUUUCUUGAUUUAGCCUUCAAGUUUGGUUCUUUACUUUAGAUCUUUUAAUGGGUUUAUCCGCAAUAUGUAUAUAUAGCGUACUGGAACUUGGGUUUAGUCUUUAGUAUUACACUGAAACCUGAAAUGGCUGGUCGUUUACUUAAGGAUGUGUUGUGUUUUUGAUGGUUAGUGUGCACUGACUUGGUCCGUGGAGCUAAAGACAAGAGACUGAGAGUGAAAGGACCAGUGAGGAUGCCAACUAAAGUUCUCAAGAUUACCACAAGGAAAGCUCCUUGUGGUGAAGGUCAGUAAUCAAAUCUCCCUUCUCUUUUUUUUGAGGAAUUUCACAUCUUGUUGUGUAUAUGUUAGGUAGAUUGUCUAUGUGAUUCAGAACCUACUUUGCUUUGAGUUUAUUAUCAACUAGAAAUGCAGAACUUAAGAUAGUAAAAGGAAGAACCUACAUGUUUGUCUAAGUUUUUUUUGUUUUGUGAAUUGUAGGAACCAACACGUGGGACAGGUUUGAGCUCCGUGUACACAAGCGUGUGAUCGAUCUCUUCAGCUCUCCUGAUGUUGUGAAGCAGAUCACUUCCAUCACCAUUGAGCCUGGUGUUGAGGUCGAGGUCACCAUCGCUGAUUCUUAGAUUCAUGCGCUUUAAUUUACAAUCUUGUCUUUGAAUUCCAUCGACUUCUCUCUUUUUUGUUUUACAAGGUUCAGACUUGGUACUUUUUUUCCUAUAUGUUAUCCUUUUGAAUUUGUUAUUGUUAAAACGUUUAAUUUUCUAGUUUUGUUUUGCUAAAGCAUUGAGCCCGUACCACACUAUUUAGAUUUUAGACAAAUGAGGUAUAACUUUAAUUCAUUCGUAGGGUUAGGGAAAUGCAAUCCGUUAUUCGUAGGGUAUGGAUUUGGAGCUUGAAUUUUUCUAGGUCUAAUAUAACAAUUUUCUGAAGAUUAAAAGUUGAUUACAAAAAAGAAAGUUAUUAUUAUUGUUAUAAAUAAUAAUCCUUAGAAACUCAACAUGAGAAAUUGAUGGAAAAUGGUGCUUUUAUAUCGUAAUCUCGCAUCUCAAUAGAAAAGUAAAAUUAUACUACUAUUUCAUGGUCAAAAGGAGUUUGUCUUUUUUGCCGACUCAUCAAAAAGGAUUGAAUAAUCUUUUUUUGAUUUCCCAUUAGGAUUGGAUCAAUCAGACAUCAAAAUAUCUUCAAUAAUGGUGACGUGGACAUUAUUAUGGCUAAUAAACCGGUCAGCGAUCGUAGCCGUCCAUUAUUUCUUAAACCGCUUGAUCGAACAGCCGCAAAACAACGUAGAUCCUCCGUAGCAAGAACGGACACGAUAUAAUAAAUAAAUAAAUAAAUAAAAAAAAGCGAAUCGUAUAAUAAACACACGAGAAUCGGUCUAAAAGGUUGAAAACCUGAGCUGCUUCUUCUUCUCAUCGAUCAAAAUGGGGAAUACGAAUUGCAUCAUCGGAGGUUGCAUAGAUCAAGCGAGCGUUGGUGUGGUUGAACGCUGGGGUCGAUUCGAGCACAUAGCCGAGCCUGGUUGCCACUUCUUCAACCCUCUCGCGGGUCAGUGGCUCGCCGGAGUCCUCUCCACCAGGAUCAACUCUCUCGAGGUCAAAAUCGAGACCAAAACCAAGGUUCGAAAUUUCGAUAUCCUCCCCCACUGCGAUCCUCGCAAAGGAGAUCUUGGAAUGAAUUAGGUUAAUCUGUUUUGGUUUUGCAGGAUAAUGUGUUUGUGCAGCUGAUUUGCUCGAUUCAGUAUCGUGUGGUGAAAACUAACGCUGAUGAUGCGUUUUACGAGCUUCAGAACCCUAGAGAGCAGAUCCAAGCUUACGUUUUUGAUGGUAGCUUUCUCUCUUGAUGUUGUUUUUAAACUCUUUGUGAUCUUUAUUUGAUUCUUGGUUUGUAUGUUUGUUUCCAUAUCAUAGUGGUUAGAGCUUUGGUUCCGAUGAUGACGCUGGACGCUCUUUUUGAACAAAAGGGAGAAGUAGCUAAGUCUGUUCUUGAAGAACUCGAGAAGGUAUAUAUAUAAUAACAUGCUUCUCGUCUUCUUUAGAGUACCGAUUCUUGUUAACUGUUAUCAUGUGUAGAUGUGUUUUGGAUUGCAAUGAGAACUUAUAAUAUUAUCGCAGGCUAUGUAAUUAGUGUGCUUUCAGGAACUAGUAAUGGCAAGUUCUGUUAUGUUUAUGGAUCAUGAUUGUAAUUGUUUCUUCAGGUGAUGGGGGCUUAUGGAUACAGCAUUGAGCACAUCCUUAUGGUUGACAUCAUCCCUGAUCCUUCUGUACGUAAGGCCAUGAACGAAAUCAAUGCAGGUAAACUUCGUGAUCUAUUACUGGGGAAUUAUUAGUGUCUCAUGCUCUUCAUGGUUAUAAGAUUCUUACAAAUUGAAGCAUAUAAUGUUUUAUAUUUUUAUGUUAAAUUUUACACUUUUAAUGGUGAUGGUUCUAUUUCUCAUUUGUGUCUCAAAACCAAAUUAUUUUAAUGCAGCACAAAGGCUACAGCUCGCUAGUGUUUACAAAGGAGAAGCUGAGAAGAUUCUCCAAGUGAAAAGAGCCGAAGCAGAGGCGGAAGCCAAGUACUUAGGCGGUGUGGGUGUUGCUAGACAGAGGCAAGCAAUCACAGACGGGUUGAGGGAGAACAUAAUGAACUUCUCUAGCAAAGUAGAAGGCACUUCGUCCAAAGAUAUCAUGGACUUGAUCAUGAUCACACAGUACUUUGACACCAUGAGAGACCUUGGAAGCUCGUCUAAGAACACAACCGUGUUUCUGCCUCACGGUCCGGGACACGUGAGGGAUAUCAGCGACCAGAUUCGUAACGGUUUGAUGGAGGCGUCCAGUGCUCGUGUCAGCGACGGAGUCUAAAGAGAGAUUCACUUGGGAUUGUGAGUUGGGUUUGCUGGUUUUGCUAUUUUUAUUAUGGUUUAAAUUACAUUUUAGCACUUGGGUGUGUGUUGAGUUUAUUUGGAUGUUGCUUCCUUUUAUUGUUUAUGGUUUUAUUGGUGAUAGUUGUAUUAGUGAUAUAAAUAAUAACCCAAAGUACUUUGAGCUCUUAUUGUAAUAUUCUGAUUUCUUAAAAACGGUGAUGCAUAAAGAGAGCUUAUAAACUGUGAAUACAAUUUGUUCUUUGAAGAAUAGAUCUAUACUCGGUUUAGGACUAGGGUUUCUUUCUUUGGAUACCUAUAGUGAUCUACAAGAAAAAAGGACAAAAAUGUGUGAGAACAUUAGAUGAUUGAAGUCAAUUGGGUGAAACAUUUAAGUAGUGAGGUUUUUACGACUAACAUUCUUAUGCAGGUUUUAUCAUAUGGCUAAUAAUGGAGACAAUUAUAACAACAACCACCAUGGAAAGAACAAUAACCCAUUGUUCCAAAUUUCCAAAUUCAAACUUUAGUGGAAGGGAGGGAUGUAACGUUUGUUGAAGAUUGAAUUAAAUAACAAUCCAUGAGAAGUUGGAUCGAGUUUAAGAAGAUAUACAACAAAGUCAAUCAGAAAACUGGGUUAAUCACUGAUGGGAAGCACCAAGGAGACUUCCACGUAAAGGAAUAUGAUCCACACAAUCAUGUUUUUAAUAUAGAAACCCUCUGUCCUUCUCGAAAGGUUUGGGUGUCCAAGUUUCAUUAUUGACAAACGUAGCACGAGUAUUGAUUUGACUUGAGUUAACAAAGACCCAUGUGUCUUAAAAGACUUGGGGCUUAGGAAGACUUACUCGCUCCUUUACGUAUAGUUUUAUUACAAAAUAAAUGUUGUUAUCGAUUUUCAAUGCAAAAUUUAUUAAUUUUAUGCAAAAUUUAUUUUUCUGUUGGUUAAAAUAUGGUUAGGUGUAUAGAUAAUAGUGUUUUUUAUAGGAAAUGUACAAAAUUAAUUGUUUCUUUAAUCCGUGUGUCGAAACCUAAAACGACAUUUAUAAUGAAACAGAGAGAGUAUUAGACCAUGUCCAUCGCAGAAUUGAAGAGGGGUUCUUUACUCUUUAAAAUAAUGAAAAAAUUAAGAAAAAGAAGAGAGAAGGAAAAAACAGGUUCUAAAAUAGAUGAUUUAAGAACCGGUAUUAACCCUUCACAGCCACUUGUCUUUUAGUUAUUGGUUAAGUUUAUUAAAGUUUUAUUGUUUAAUUUAGCUAUAUUAGAAAUAUUUAGAUUAAACUGUUAAGAACUUCAAAAUAGAUUUCAACCGAUGAAGUUGCUCUAGAUGGAGUUGCUCUUAGAGCAUGAUUAUUGGGGGUUCUUAGAGUGGGGUUCUUACCAGAAUAUAAGAAUCUGUCUCUUAACUUUUAACUAAAAAAAGUUAAGAACCGGCUCUUAAAACUCUUAUUUAAGAACUGUUUUUUAGCUUUUUUAGUUAAAAGUUAAUAGACGGAUUUUUAUAUUCCGAUAAGAAUCUCACCCUAAGAACCCCAGAGAUCAUUCUCUUAGUUAUCAACUUAGCUGGCAAGGAGUUUCUUCUUUGGUAAUAGUUCACUUGUUUAAAUUAGUCAUUUAUGCAACUAAAGUUUCAACUACUUUAUUCAGCAGUCGUUGUCAACUUCUACUUGUCUAAGAAGUAUCGUCUUCUAUUUAAAUGUCUCUCAAAGCCAUCUCUUUCGCACAAACAACAACUUUUCUUCUUCUUUUCUCUCUCUCCUCUCUCCACUCUCUCUCUCUCUCACUGCAAAGAUGAUAGAUUCUACCUUGGAGUUCGUCAACAAAACCACUUCUAAUUCUUUAUUCAUGUUCCUCUUCUGUAACUUGAUCAUCAUCUUAAUCCUCUUGGGAAAUUCUAAACCCGGUUCGGAAGAUAAAUCAAAUUCCGGUUCGAAGGAACCCAUGUUCAUACCUGAAUCGGUUCUCUCUUCCAAAUCCAUGUUGUUAUAUGAGUCGACGACUCUCAAUUCAAAGCCCGGUUUAAAGAAACCCGUGUCGAUACCUGAAUCAGUUCUUUCUUCCAAACCCGUGUUAGUAUCAGAAUCGGUUCUCUCUUCUAAACCCGGUUUUGAGAAAUCCGAGCUGAUCUCUGAGUCUACUCUCCCGCUAAAUACCGGUUUACAAGAACCGGGAGUGAUAUCUAAGUCGGUUCUUCUCUCCUCCAAACCUGCCGGUUCUGAUCAAUCGUUGACUUCCAAAUCCGGUUUGAAUUUAAUAUCUUCUGGGUUGAAAACCGGUUCAGACUGUUCAGAGAAGGACAAAAGAGGGAGAAUGAGGAAGAAACAGAGCUUGGAAGUAGAGAAUGAGAGCUUGGAAGUGGAGUGUGUGCUUCGAAGACGAGUUGAAGAAUUUAUUCGUAAAGUUAAUACUCAAUGGAAAUCAGAGAACACCAACAGAGAUUAUCUCUUAUACUAAUCAGAGUUUUGUUUUGUAAUUACCAAAUGCUCUAUAAAAAACCUAUGAAUGGGAAGCAACAAGUCAAAAAAUUAGAGUGACUAAGUGAAUUCAUAACUGUAAUUCUCUUCUUUUAAAAAAACUCAAACUAGCUAAAUUCUGUAUCCAAACCACAUCAUACUCCUGAUAUUUCAAAAUUUAAAAUUUAUGUGUAUUUUUUUGUAAGUAACAUGUUUCAAUAAUUUAAAACCAAUAAUUAAAUUUAAAAAUAAUAAUGUCUCAUUGUUAACUAAUAAAAAUAUGUAAAACAAUAAUAUAUUUUUAAUAUUUUUUUCACAAAAAGGUUUUAAAUUGAAGAAAUUUCAAGUUAUAAUUUAUGAUUGUUAAUAUUAAAAAUUUGCGAUGUAACAAAAUUAAAAGAAAGUUACAAUCCCCACUACAUGCAAAGCUAAAAACUUGCUAUGGAUUAUGAUAUUAAUGAUAGAGUUGGACACAAGGCAAGGACCCGCUAAUUUUAGGAUAUUAGAUAUUUGGCUUGUUCAAAUAGUUAAACUUGUUAUUUACAUUUGAUCCAUUUAAAAUGAGUAAUUUAUAUAUCAAGUAUUUGUCUAAAUUUUGAUUUUUUUCAAGUUACUUGUUCCGCUACUUGGCCGAUUUUAUUAUUCAAGUAGAAAAUACUUAAUUAUUUGAAUUCAAAAUGCUUAAAACUAAUUUUCUUGUAAUAAAAUAGAUUUCAGGUUGAAAAUAGUUUAUUAGACUUUAAUAUUUUAAUAAAAAUUCAAUGUAAUUUCAAUUUUAAUUACAAAUUUCUGUUGAGUUUUGUUUAUGGAAACACAAAUGUCAACAUUUAGAGUUUUGUUUAUAAAGACAUAAAUGUUCGCAACAUCUAUUUAAAUAUUAAGUAUAUUUAUUUAUAUCAUAAUAAGUACUAAGUAAACGGAUUAAGUAAUUACAAAAAUAAUGAGAGUUAAUGUUUGAUUUGUACUUGUAAAUAUUUGUUAUCUGAUUUAACAAUAGCAGAUGCUUACUUUUUCAAACCGAGUAUGGAGCAAAUAGUAGAUACAUGCUGAGUACCAAAUAGUUAUUCACAGCCCGAAUAAAAGAUAUGAAAAGGGCUAUUAUCAAGUUGACAAAUUCAUGAAGGUUGCUUAGUUGAACCAAAUCAACAAUAAUAUACGUGUUUGAUGUAAGAAAUUCAAAUUAAUUAAAUUUUUAUCUAUCGAAACUAGAUUAAAGCAUAUCAGUUUUUUUGGGGUAAACUAUCGGGUUUAAAUUUGAAAUUGUGUAAAGAAAUAUUUUGCUAUAGAACAAAGUUUUAAAGGAGAAAGGCAAAAUGACGUUGAUGCCAACACAUAGAAUCAAGGCAGAAAGCAUAUCAUAUAUUUCCUGAUCCGAUUCAAAAAGGAUUUGAGUGAACAAAGUGCAGCCAUAGUGUUAUCCAAUAAAAUAAAAUCAGACUAUGCUUAGGCUCAUACAUACAACAAAAAAAAUGGAUUAGAAAAAUAAAAAAAAAGCAUUAUCUAUGAGUCGCAAUAAAUUUGGACUGAUGUAGUUUAGUUUGGUUGGCGGAAACUGCAAUUUAUAUUAAGGUUUGUUAGAUAGAGAAGGGAAAAAGCAUCUUUCUACUUCAUCAAAUGUCAAUAAAAAAGAAGCAAAGUUAACAGAUGAAUCAAUCCGAAAAAUAAGAUAUGAUUUCCUAGACCAGAUUGAUUUAUACAGAUCAUAUUAAAACGCUUGACAACUAAAGACAGUAUCCAACUUUACAAUUGUUUACUUGAAAAUUGAUACUUCUGUAAAUUAAUCCGACUCAUCAUUGUCUAAACUAUACAUAUUUGAGCUUAAUCAACUUUUGGUAAAGCAACAUACAAAAUAUAUUUAUUCACUUGUUUAGCAAAACAAAUAUGAGUGCACCUCUUAACUUAUUUUGGAUAUAUAGAUCACAAGUCUAGAGUAUACAUGCAUAUUUUAGCAAAAGAGAUUUUUGGUUUUGAUUCUGGUUCGGUUAUUAAGGCUAACUGACAAACAACAUUUCAAAAUCAUUUCAGUUAUUAGUUCGGUUCGGCUGAACUAAUCGCCUAUCCACUCUUUACAUUAAUGGGUUCUUUAGUGCCUUGAGUCUCGAAUUUUGCUCGUUCACCAAACUAUAAACUUUAUUUUGUUCACCCAAAUUAUAAACUCAAAUGAGAAAAAUACAUGUUUAUAAAUCAGUUAGUUAUAAUGCAGACAUGAUUCUUUAAGACAAACUAAUAAAAGUCACCUGAUUGUCAAAAUGAAAGUCAUUAAAGAGUGAACUGAAUGACAGAGAGCACACAUAAGUUUCGCAAUUCUACAACCACCACUUGGGGUAACCAAGUCAAAAGAACCCUAAAGAUAUUACAUAUCCUCUAAUAAACCCUAACUCUUUAGUGAGAGAUAUCUCUGUUUAAAUAAGACAACUAAAAUCUUCAAGAAAAAUAAAAACCCAUUAGACUCUAAAGACCUCAAGAUCACGAUCGAUGUUGUUCGGAUUCACUCACUCAAUAACCAUCAACUUGGAACCUCGGUGUCAGAUUCAGUAUGGACUCCAAACUCUUCACCAUCUUCACCUUCUAAGUUCUCCUCAUCUUCUUCGUCAUCCUCUCCUGGGAGAGAAGAGAAGAGAUCCCUUAUAUGGUCAGCCGUGUUGUUUCUGUAGUACCCUUGGGCUGCGUUAGUGCUCGGCUCAUGCGAAAACGACAUAGGUGGUGCGGACACGGGUGGUGGCUGAAUAACAACAGGCUUGUUGAGCCCGUUGUAUCUAGCCUUUGGAUCUUCCGCCGAGCCACCACCGAAUGAGAUGUUAGAAGCUUGUGUUGUAGUCGGAAUCCCGAGCCUUUCUCCUCUUUGUUUCUUCAUCUGCUGCUGUUGCUGCGAUUCCUCUUGACCCCCCGCAACAAAAGUCCCUACCAUUACCUGAAAUAAACAGAAAAUGCUUUAAAAAUAUAGUCCAUUAGAAGGAUCAAGAGUCCCUCAUGUUCUAUAAGUUUACCUGAACAGGACCAGCGGCUAUAAAGAGACCAGCGAGACCACCACCAAAGACACGACCAUCAGGUCCAGCGAGAGACACACUCAUCCCUCCAGCUCUGCUUCGGGUUCCUCCACUCUCGCUUGGUAUAAACGAACCCGUCAAAGAAAGAAUCUCAAAAUGUCCCUGAUCCAACACAAAUUGUUAUAAUUUAGUUUAAAAAAGAAAAAAUAUUUAAAAUGAAUCUAAAAGAGAGAAAAAGAGAGAGCAGACCUCAUAAGUGAGAGUACCACCAGAAGUGGUAGAUUGACGAAGUGUAACAUUUGAAAUGGGACCGUUUGCGGAAAGAAUGCAGAUAGCACGAGAGCCUUCUUGUUGAGAAAAAGUCAUUAUCUUCAUCGUCACAUCCUAGUAUCAACCCAUUGUAACCAGAAUAAAAUAAAAAAAAGAUUCACAAAUCUUAGUGAAUCAACAUCACAGUGAUAAUAUUUUCAUAUUAAGGUCGGAAAAUUUAUAUUUUUCCUAACAAACAUUCAGUAAAAAAUCAUAAUACAUACCUCGCCGGCAUUUACUGUGAGCACAUAAGGCGUAAAACUUGCACUAGUAACAACAUCUGCUGCAGUUCCUACAACUACAAAACAAAUCAAGAAUAACAAUUAAGGUAUGAAUUCGAAAUCUAACCAAACAGUUAAAACCCUUAAGCAACUAGAUUAAGUUCUACUACUACUACUACAUCUUAAUCACAGUGAAGGCAUAAGAUCCAUUAAACGCAGCGUAUUGAUUCUAAAGUGUACUACAAAGAUUCAUUUAACAGAAUAGAAAUGAGAUAUAUAGAUAUUACCAGGAGAACUGUUUUGGAAUUCGAACAUUUGAGGAUUCUUGACCCAACUGUUGUUGUUGUUGUUGGGAGGCUGCUCCACGCGUCCUCGACCUCGUCCUCUUCCUCUCCCACGCCCUCUUCCUCGUUUCUGAGAAGCAAACCCCGUCGACAAAGGAACGGAGGAGGAGAGUGGCAUCGGAGAAAGAGUCACGGCCAGUGAGCCGUCGGGGUUAUACUUUCUCGGUCUCCCUCUCUUCUUCUUCGCCAGCUCAGCAGAAGAAUUCUCCACCGGCAUUGUUAAGCUGAAAGGAGGAGCAGCAUUCUCAGUAGCUUUAGCCGCCACGGCGGAUGCAGAUGCGGCGGCGGUGGUGUUGGGUAGUCCCGCCGGAAAAGGGUUAGGGUUUCCGGACCGUGGUGGGUCCAUUUGGUAGACACCACCACCACUAGGAGGAGGAGGAGCUACGUGUUGUUUCAGACCAAAACUGGUUAUGAUGUUGCUGGUUCCUCCUCUCUCCUCCAUCUGAAGAUUCUGUAAGGAGGGAGAGAUAAAAGGAGAAGAAGUAAGACACUUGAAUCUUGCUGACCACGACAGGUACGAGCUUCUGAGACAAAAAAGACUUUUAAAGUACAGACAAUAGAAAAAGAGAUCCAGAGAACGUAAGAUUCACAAGAGCAAAAAGAAAACAAAAGCAAAAGAUGGAAGUUCAAAUUAAGUGAAGAGGAAGAUCAGAGCUUCCAUGGCAGAACCUUAAUUUCACUUGAAUUUCUUCUAAAACAUUCUUAAUUACCUGCACAAAUGAAAUUGGUAUUUUUUUUUGUCUCCUUUUUUCUAUGGGGUGGGUUAAGUUUAUGGAGAAAUUUCUUUUACAGAUGUGAGAAAUUAGGGUUUUGAGAAAGAAAAUGGGAAGAUAAAUAAUAAAAAUAAAUAAAUAAGAUGAGCGGAUAUUUUAUUACAUUAUUACAUUUUGAUAUUAUAAAUUAAAAAUGGGAGAAAAAAUGAGAGAGAGAGAGAGAGACAAGAAAAGAAAAGAAAAGAAAAGUGUAAAUUCAAAAACAAUUGUAAUAAUGGGGUUAAUUAGAAAAUUUUCAAAAAGAGUUACACGCCACUCUUUAACAGUCUUGGAAUUUGGGAUACAGCUAAAGCUAAAUUAAUUUAAUAUAAUGAGUAGGGGGGCAAUUUUUAAUUAUAUACAGUUGGACUUGGUUUUUGAGAUUUGAAUAGUAUUAAAAUAGAGAAAGAAAAAGAUUUGAGUCUUUUCUUGGUUUCGAGUCAUAUGCCAUUUUAUAAUAUGUGCUCAUUCUGUUUCAUAAUAGUUGAUGUUUUAGAAAAUGUUUGUUGUUUCAAAAUAGAUAAAGUUUUGAUAUAUUUAUAUUAUUUUUAAUUUUAUUGAAAAUUGUGUAACUAAUUAGAUUUUGCAGUUAUUUUUUUAAUUGGUUAAAUAAUUUUUAAAUUAUAUCUGUAAAAUUUUUUUUUUUUUAAAUAGAUUUUUUAAUAUAUAUAUAAUGAGUUAAAACAUCAUAUAUAUAUUGUGAAACGGAGGGAUAAUUUCUUUUUCCAGUCUACCCACUUUGACUAUAACCAAUCCAAUUGUCAGCUACGAUAUCUCUGUUCUUGCAGCUCUUGUCCUUGCCAUUAGGUGUGGUACGUGAGUCAAUGUGACUCCUGUCCUGCGUGGUAUGGUUCCAAAAUAUAAUGAUGCAUUUCAGCUUUUAGGGUACAGAAAUCAAGCACAUACUUUGACAAAUGGUUAAAAUGAAUUUGAAAAGUUUUUUUUUUUUUCAUCAAACUUAUUAAUCUGAGACAAAAAGAAUUCAAGUUCGUGUAGAGAAAAACGUUUAGUUAUCAGAUCUGCCACUUGAUUUGCAAAUCUAAAUAUAAUCAAACAUAUUUCAUAUAGCUAGAAUAUUAGAAAACUCAGUGUUCUCUUCACCUUUGUAUUAUCAAGUUAAUUAUAGUUUGGGAAUCAAAGAGAACAUAUAUCUCUUCACUACCUCCCUGUCUCUUUCGGUGCUCAUACAUACUCUGCUUGAUAGUCCAAGCUUCUGGCCGAGGCUAUAAAACCUCUUGAAUCAGCUAACUCAAUGUCAUCUAUACUUCUGGAUUUGCAAUUGGGUCUAUAGAGACAAAUCAAUCUCUUGAUGAGUUGCUUCUCAUCAAACUUGACAGUUCUUUGAUCCAUCUAUAAAAUAGAAUAAAAGGACUUAUCUCUGCUAAUCACUUCUUGCGCUAUUUUUGGAGCGUUUUCUUCUAGAUUUUACAUCUAAAACUCAACAUUUUUGAGUUUUAUUCUCCUGUAAAGUGUCCAGAGAGCAGCCUUAGACCACAAAUGAAGAAGAUCCAUCAGACUCAGAGCUUUGUUCAGUUAUCACUUUGUGUCUAUUCUUUGGACUGAGAAACAACUUUUCUUGUUAGUCUCCAAGAAACCUUACACAUGUGAAAACGGUUGCUUAAAGAAAAAGCCAAUCAUAUAAUUGACCUUUUUAACAAACCAAAGAACAAUCAAUUUGAGUUUUACACAAAAAAUAAAGACAGAAUGAAAAUCAGACGUGGAUCAAAGACUCGGACUGUAGCAUGAAAGCGAGUCUUCGUUCCUCAAAGGAGUACUCAACAACUUCAACCUUUUCUGGAAGCAAUCUUGCAUUGUUGAAUGGUGUCGCUGCAGUUUGCAUCGGGACAGAGAUUGUUGCUGGUGUAGAUGGGAUAGGAAUCAUCGCUGCUACAUUCUUUGGUGUUUGCAUCAUCAUCAACUUCUCUUCUUCCAAGUUCCUUACACUGUUGUUGUCCUUGACGGGAGUUGCAAAUGCCGAUAUCUCAUUCACUGCGUUGCUUUUCGGGGUUGGAAGAAGUUGCUGCGGCGUUGCUAUGUUAGCCUUUGAUGCAACCACCGUGGUAGGAAGGGGUGAGAAUGGUUUGCGCACUAGUGGAGAUUGCAGCUGUUCGCAUGGAUUCAUUGACUGUUUCCUUGAGGGAAGUCCAGCAACAUCAAGCCCUCUUCUUCCUGCAGGAGAAUAAAAUAUUUCAUUCAUCAAUGCAAUUAAGAGAAACUACUCAACCCAAUGAUUCUAUAUUAGUUACCAGUUGAUAAAGCUCCAUCAAUCUGGCGCUGAUCUGCUUUCUUGUUAGGCUUAGGAGUCUGAUGCAUCCCUGCUCCUAAGGAGAGUCUUCGGUUGGUUGCUGCACCACCGGUUGACAUUCUUGGAGCCUUUUUACCACCAAGAGGUUUUGAUGGGCUCGGUUUUGACCCGUAAAGCGCCUCUUGUUCUGCUAUGAGCUGUCCUUGGAGUUUCUUAUGAUCCUUUUAACAUGUAGAAAACAGUAACAUCACAUAGAGUUACAUUAGGAAGAUUACACUGGCCAAAAAGUUUCUGAUGGGAAUAAGAGAAAGUACUUACCCGUUGGCGACGGUGUUCUUCUUCUCUUUCCUGCCUGAGUAAGUUAUACUCCUCGAGCAUGGAGAGUAGACGAAUCUACACACGGAAAAAGAGGAUUAAGAAUGGUCAGCGAUGAUAUA
This 39580-nucleotide long non-coding RNA is filed under the name Brassica napus (rape). RNAcentral describes it as "long non-coding RNA (BNAP_LNC012888)". The stretch from base 31215 to 31340 matches the Rfam family "MIR9563 microRNA precursor family". The record is from RNAcentral. Lineage: Eukaryota; Viridiplantae; Streptophyta; Magnoliopsida; Brassicales; Brassicaceae.